This 2044-nucleotide long non-coding RNA is filed under the name Mus caroli (Ryukyu mouse). RNAcentral's name for it is "lncRNA (MGP_CAROLIEiJ_G0005150.1)". The record is from RNAcentral. Lineage: Eukaryota; Metazoa; Chordata; Mammalia; Rodentia; Muridae.
GGACCGGCACCGCGCGUGCGUAGAGCUGUCAGCCGCACCCACGACGCGCUUCCAACAAAGUUGCAAAGCAACCGGCAGACCUGUCAGAACGGUGACGAUCCCGGCGAUGGAAGAAAGGCGAAACUGCUCCGCGUGGGCUGCCCGGAGUGGCAUCGCGCCUUGUUCGAGUCCGAAGAAGUUCCCGCUUCUCUAAACCGGCUGAAGAGAUGCGAGUCUCCUCCUCUUGUCCCAACGGGACUGCGUCCUGACACCGAGUGGACUCCGCCCCGAGAGUGCGAGCGUCCUGAGCGAUCAGGGCAUCCUGAGCCGCGGAAGGCAUCCGGCCACACCCCGCUCUUUACCCGCCAACGCCAGCCCAGGUGGUCAGGCUCAGAAUGGACUGUGAGCCCGUGUGUUAUGGAUCUCUGGUUGUAGAGACAAAAGAACAAAGAUGGAAGCCACCAAGGAUGCUCCCGGCUGAAUGAAUUGUUGCUCUCUGGCUUACACAAAGUCAAGCGAAUGAUCUUCCUAUGUUAUGUAAUAUAUCAACGACCUGCUUACCUUACUCCUUUAAUCUACGUUAUUCUGGAAAGUACCACUUGAAACAAAAGAGUAGAUACAUUCUACUGGAAAUAUGACCCUCAGAGAAGGAAAGAAAGACCGAGGGUUGAACCUGAACACAUGAAAGAGAAUCCAAGACUUUCCCUAAGAGACUCUCUCCUGUUCUCAUGAUGUGCUAAUGACAGAAAUCAUAUGACUAAUGGAGAGAAACUGGUAGAUAUACAAGAAAAACUGCAUUGGGAUAACCGCCAUCUUACAAAGGGACGCAUCCAGGCCUAUUCUGCCCUUGGACCACAUUGUAUGCUUAGUGUUUCAGAAGAGAGAAAUCAUCAAAGGCGCACCCAAAGAAACAUCUGAAUGAAAGCUCAGUGGCAUUUGCUUUUCCCAAGGACCAGCAUCAUGGUUUCAGAGUUAACACACUGGAGAAAUGCCUAACCCUCCAUGUCACUCCCUACAUCCUCAACACUCACUCAGAGAGGGACAUCGAAGAAAGGAUCACCAGUGAGUCGUACUUCUCAAAGAGAAAGCAGAAGUUUAUUGCUGCUGAAAGUCUAUGAAUAAAUCCAUGCUCCAAAUCACAACCCGAAAAAGCUCCAGAAAGGAUGCACAUGGUCUAAAAAAUGGAGAGACUGGUGUCCCAUGCCCUGUCUUGUUACCCUGAGACAUGAUGUUGGGUAGAGUUGGUCUAGGUACAAUAUCAUUGAAUUUGCAGGUGCCUAAGUGUAGGGGAAUCACAUUGCCAUAUACAGUCAUUAUAGUGUCGGGAGACAAGAAAAUCUCUUUCCGGUGCAUCUGAGAACAUUGGAAAAAUAAUUGCAAUGGCCUGCAGACCUCAGGGACUCUCUGGAGAGAUACAGUGUGACCUCUGAAAACGCUUUAGAUUCUGUCAAAUAUCAAGAUGCAGAUCCAUAUCAGUGAUUACCAAAAAGGCUUGUUCAAAUCAUUGUUCUUGAAGAUAGUCACAGAUAGACACCAAUCAAGAGUCAAAUGCUGUAUCCUCUAACCAUUUAAAGCUUGGAUACAGCCCUGAGUGUAAAGGAAGUACUGUGUACCCCUUUGCCACACGAAGGUCAUAUAUUCAAAUCUCACCCCUCCCAAAGGUGAUGAUAUUAGGGGGUUGGGACUUCCAGGAGUGAACAUAACAUAUUCCCUUAUUAAAAAGGCUCAAGGGAGCUCACUUACCCUUCUGUCAAGUGACAACAGACAGCUGCUGUGAGUAAUUAAGUGUGUUCUAGCCACAGACCCUGCCAGUGCCUUGAUCUUGAAUUUUCUAGUCCGAAGAAGUAUGAGACAUUUCUGUUAUGUAUAAUUUACUCAAUAUAUAGUAGGUGUUCUGUUAGCUUAUUUUAAAAUGCAAUGCCUGUAUUUAUCUUGAAAAUAAAGGACUUUAGGUGUGUGUGUGUGUGUGUGUGUGUGUUUGUGUGUGUGUGUCCACAUACAUAGCAUAGACAAUAUGUAAGAUCUGUGUUCAGUUUUGGAAAAAAUAAAGCCAUGUUGCCAUACA